AGAUCCUGCAUGGAGAAGCAUCAGUCAUUAUCCCAGAUUACAUCAGGAGACCAACUGUAACAACCAGACAAUACCACAGGCACAGAGUCAGGACUUCAACGGAUGCCUAUAAAUACAGUUUCAUCCCCAGAACAAAUUUUUGACUGGAACCAAUUACCUGAAAGUGCCAUCCAAGCCCCCACAACAGACGCCUUCCGGGUCUGUGUGUGGCAGUUCCUGGUGUAACUAUUGAUACCUGAUUUUAACCCUGUACAGUUGUUGCAAACUCACAUAAUUUUAUUUGAUUUUGUUCCUGUAAAUACACAAGUUUUUGUUUAUUUUUAACUUGGCGUGUACUGGUUGACACACCCGCACAGUAUAUCUGUGUUAUGGAAAUUUCAACUGCAGAUUAUCCGAAAAAUAUAGAAGAAGAAGUACAAUGAACACUAGACAACAGGAAUGACAGGAUAUAUCUUCUGGGGGAUGGAUGGUAACUGAAUCAAUACAAAUAGCCUGAUUGAAUUUGAAAAAGCUGCAAAUGAUAUCAGUAACAAAAGAUUGUUAGUGUGCAGUGUGCAGACAGUGGUUAAACAGAAGUUAACAUUCUAUCAGUUUUGGGAUUUUACAAUCAGCUAGAGGAAAUAAUAGGAGAAAAAGGGACCUGUGUGGUAAAAACUUCCUAAAAGUCGUCCUUUAUGUGUUCAACUUUUUCUUUUGGCUGACAGCCCAGUCAGCUUUCCUAGCAUUAGGGUUAUAUAUCAAGUUCAAGAAGCAUACCUAUAUCAAUCUGCUAGGGAACAGUACUUUCCCUUUGGCAACAUACUUGCUACUAGGAACAGGAGCCUUUAUUAUCUUGUCAGAAAUCAUUAGUUGUACUGGGACAUGUAUAGAAAAUAGAUGUUUUAUGGUUAUGGUGAGUUAUUUCCCUUUGAACACAUUGUCUACUAAGAAUGUAAACCAAAAUUAAGUUUUUUAACUUUUCACAAGCAAAGCCAACAAUAAAUUGAAAAAAAAUCAUUUCAGCUAAUUCCAAUUACAUGUUAUUUUA
This is a long non-coding RNA of Mytilus californianus (California mussel), 1027 nucleotides long. RefSeq lists it as uncharacterized. The transcript is spliced from 3 exons. NCBI's taxonomy places the organism in Eukaryota, Metazoa, Mollusca, Bivalvia, Mytilida, Mytilidae. The record is from RefSeq and is a predicted model, not a curated record.